This 262-nucleotide ribosomal RNA is filed under the name uncultured eukaryote. RNAcentral describes it as "partial small subunit ribosomal RNA". It matches the Rfam family "Eukaryotic small subunit ribosomal RNA", at positions 587 to 861 of the family's 1831-position model. The record is from RNAcentral.
AGCUCCAAUAGCGUAUAUUAAAGUUGUUGCAGUUAAAAAGCUCGUAGUUGGAUUUCUGGCAGAAGGUUAGAGCGCACCUGUGUGAGGCUCGCGUCUUCUGCCAUCCUUCUGUUAACCUUUCAUGGCAUUGACUUGUCGGUUAGGGGCUCAGAUAUUUUACCUUGAGAAAAUUAGAGUGUUUCAGGCAGGCUUGUGCCCGGAUACAUUAGCAUGGAAUAAUGGAAUAGGACUUCGGCCUCUUCUGUUGGUCUGAGGGGUUGGA